UUGGAGUGAUGGCUCAAAGUACAGUGACUGGCUUACUGGUGAGCCAAAUGAAAAUGGAGGAAAGGAAAAUUGUUUGGAGCUGGCCUAUGGAGCUGAGCAACGCUGGAAUGAUCUGGACUGUGCCACUCCUCUCAAUUUCAUCUGUUUGAUUUCUCUUCCUGCUUGUUAAUCUCAUCUGUCCAUCACCCGAGAGGCUUUGGUUUUUGGAUUAAUGUUAGUCUCUGCAAAAAUAAAAGUGAAGUGGACUUCAA
Molecule: long non-coding RNA, 251 nt
Organism: Carassius auratus (goldfish)
Lineage: Eukaryota; Metazoa; Chordata; Actinopteri; Cypriniformes; Cyprinidae
Exons: 2
Source: RefSeq, a predicted model, not a curated record